Long non-coding RNA from Nannospalax galili (Upper Galilee mountains blind mole rat), 2442 nucleotides. RefSeq lists it as uncharacterized. Lineage: Eukaryota; Metazoa; Chordata; Mammalia; Rodentia; Spalacidae. The record is from RefSeq and is a predicted model, not a curated record. The transcript is spliced from 3 exons.
UCCUCCUGCCUCUGCCUCCCAAGUGCUGGGAUUAAAGGUGUGCGCCACCACACCUGGCUAAGAAGCACCACCGACAGACUGAGGUUUUGAUAAAGCAGACAGAGUGGAAUGCUAGUGCUUCGGGGACCCAGCUGCUGAGCUAACUUUCAUCGUCUACAUCCUGAAAUGUCUCAGAAUAGAAGGUCAGGGUGCCGACACCACGGUUUGUGACUGGACAGCACAGCUGGGAAGGAUGGAAGGUUGCAGAUGCUGCAAACAAAUCUGUCACCAAGACAGAAUCUGAGUAGAACAAGUGGUAAGAAGAGAGCUGCUCAGACCAGAGGGGAAAGAGUGUGCCAUCUUGCUCUGCAUCCCAAGAGUCAAGAGUCUGCCAUCCUGCCCUGCCUUCCUGGGAGUCUUUCAUCCCAUCCUCUUUUCCAGAAGGUACACUAGCUGGGCCUUCUGCCCAAGUCUUCUGUGCCUGUUUCUGGAGCAUCAUCUGGCUCAGAGCUAUCCCAAGAUGAACCAGGGAAGAACAUAAACUCAGGCCUCCUAUCUCCAGCAGACCAGCCUGUGUGUGAGUCUCAGUCUAAGCUGCCUAUGAGCCAGGCUGGGGCAAAUCCCAGUGGACACGGGUGCCUCCUCCACACUUCACCAGAACUCCCCUCCUGUCUCUGCAUACGGACACCUUGCUAGAGCAUAUAGCACCACUGUCCAGAGCCCUGACCACUGCAAGGCAUGAGAGGAUUCCAUUUUACAUGACCAGAUCAUGUCAAGCAUUCCAUCUUACACACCUGGAUCACAUCACCAGACUGCCUGUUAAUGACAUCACGGUAACAUUACCAUGUGACUCGUCACAGUGUUGUGUCUCUGCCUUAUACCAUUUCAUUGCACCAUCAUAUAGUACCAUCACCAUGAUGUCAUCUCAUCUUCCCAACAGUACAAUCAGGUCUGUCCUAUAGUUAACACUCCCAUUUUACAGAUGGACAAAGCAGCACAGGGAGGAGUGGAGUGACCAGCCCAAGGCCACCCAGCUGUAAGGGGUGAAGUUGGCCAGCUCGCUCUGGGAGUAGGGCUAUAAAAAGCAUUGCUCCCUGAAUCUGGGGCAGCGCAGGUGUCGCCCCAGGGCUGUUUCUGCAAACACCAUUCUCUCCAGGAAACUCUGGGGACACCUUGGGCAACCAGAAAGCAAGUCAGAGAUCUUCCUUACAUAAAUGAAUCUGUAAGAGGGAAUCUGCGAGACCAGGAAAGGCAAGCCAAGGUGCCAAGUGGGGCAGAGAGCACAGGGCUCUCAGGAAGGACCAGUAUGUGUUGUCCAGAUGUCCCCACCUUCAAGAAGUCCUCCCUCGAUUCCCUGCAUCAAACCAAUGAGUGUCCUGGGCAAUGACUCAGUUUACCCAUCACCUGCUGGACCCAGAGACAGUAUGACUGUGUUGGGCAUCCUUGGCAGUUGUUCCCCACGCCCACUGUGUGAAGCAGGAAUGACUGAGGCUUAGAUCAACUCACAGAACUCCCAGCAUCCCUAGGCUGGUUCCCAAGCCAUCAGCCUCAGCCCCUAUUACAUCUCAGCAGCCAGGAGGGCUCAGCAGACUCUGGGAUGCAGUGGCCUCCUGAACUAUGAGAUCCCUCUUCUCUGGAAGUCUCCCAGCCAGAAUGAGGUCUGCACCCCACUGCAGUGACGUUUCUGUCCCCACUCCCCUGUCUACAGUCCUAGCCAGUGGGUCCCCCAAGCAGGAGCACCCCAGCCUGCACCCAUUCAUCAAGAGGCUGAGGGUGGAAGGAAAGGGCUCCACCCAGGCCCUUCUCCUCCUUUACCGCUCCUGAUUAGCCUCCAAGUGGCCCUGAAACCUGGCCAAGCCUGAUCUUGAGAUACAGGGAGCUCCCUGGAGGCUUUGGGUUCUGUCUGUCUGCUCCACAUUAAUCAGCAGCUUCCACAGCGCCCUAGAACUUGGGUCUGAUUGCUGCGGAAGGUACCAUGUGCCAUCCUGCCCCAGCUGAGCAGAAGGCCACAGCUCCAGGAUUUUGUGCUCCCUGUGUUAGCUCCCUGAGGCCUUGACUCCUCAAGGGGGCUGUGCACGGAGGCUUGGAAAGAGGUGGAGACCCAGCUGCUGAGCCCAGCCACAGCUCACCUGGAUGGGCCCAGAAGAUUCAGGUCCCAGUUUUGCAUGACCAUAGAUGCUUCCUGGCUUCCUGCCUGGCCUAUGGGAAAUCACAGCACCUGUCCAGGGUGGAAGUGGGUGGGUACACUGGGGGAGCAGUGCCAGCUCCCAGUGGGUGGCCAAGGUCCAAGGCCCCUCCUGUGGUAAUGGAAAGAGGCAAAGAGAAAUGCCUGGAUCCCAGGGCACGCCCACCCACCCCAGCACCCUGGACUCCAGGCCCAUGCCCACCCCAGCAUCAAUGACUACUUCUGGGGCCAGUACAGUGUCCAGGCUCAGCCCUGCCCUGCCGCCCUCAAAGCACAGU